RNAcentral lists this ribosomal RNA (253 nucleotides) under uncultured bacterium. Its description in RNAcentral is "partial 16S ribosomal RNA". It matches the Rfam family "Bacterial small subunit ribosomal RNA", at positions 524 to 776 of the family's 1533-position model. The record is from RNAcentral.
CACGUAGGGGGCAAGCGUUGUCCGGAUUUAUUGGGUUUAAAGGGUGCGUAGGAGGGCAGGUAAGUCAGUGGUGAAAUCUCCAAGCUUAACUUGGAAACUGCCGUUGAUACUAUCUGUCUUGAAUACCGUGGAGGUGAGCGGAAUAUGUCAUGUAGCGGUGAAAUGCUUAGAUAUGACAUAGAACACCAAUUGCGAAGGCAGCUCGCUACACGAAUAUUGACUCUGAGGCACGAAAGCGUGGGGAUCAAACAGG